CGGAACGAUGGUGAGCUUGCUCCCAGGCGUCGAGCGGCGGACGGGUGAGUAACACGUGGGAAUCUGCCCAUUUGUGGGGGAUAACUCGGGGAAACUCGAGCUAAUACCGCAUAAUCCCUACGGGGGAAAGCAGGGGAUCUUCGGACCUUGCGCUGAUGGAUGAGCCCGCGUCGGAUUAGCUUGUUGGUGGGGUAAUGGCCCACCAAGGCGACGAUCCGUAACUGGUCUGAGAGGAUGGUCAGUCACACCGGGACUGAGACACGGCCCGGACUCCUACGGGAGGCAGCAGUGGGGAAUCUUGGACAAUGGGCGCAAGCCUGAUCCAGCCAUGCCGCGUGUGUGAAGAAGGCCUUCGGGUUGUAAAGCACUUUCAGUAGGGAGGAAGGCUUUGGGCUAAUACCCGGGAGUACUUGACGUUACCUACAGAAGAAGCACCGGCUAAUUUCGUGCCAGCAGCCGCGGUAAUACGAAAGGUGCGAGCGUUAAUCGGAAUUACUGGGCGUAAAGCGCGCGUAGGCCGUGUGUUAAGUCAGAUGUGAAAGCCCCGGGCUCAACCUUGGAAUUGCAUCCGAUACUGGCACGCUAGAGUGCAGUAAAGGGAGGUGGAAUUUCCGGUGUAGCGGUGAAAUGCGUAGAGAUCGGAAGGAACACCAGUGGCGAAGGCGGCCUCCUGGACUGACACUGACCCUUAGGUGCGAAAGCGUGGGGAGCAAACAGGAUUAGAUACCCUGGUAGUCCACGCCGUAAACGAUGUCUACCAGCCUUGGGGUCCUUAGUGACCUUGGUGGCGCAACUUACGCGAUAAGUAGACCGCCUGGGGAGUACGGCCCCCAGGGUUAAAACUCAAAUGAAUUGACAGGGGCCCCCACAACCGGUGGAACAUGUGGUUUUAAUUCGAUGCAACGCGAAAAACCUUACCA
Molecule: ribosomal RNA, 920 nt
Filed under: Alcanivorax sp.
Lineage: Bacteria; Pseudomonadati; Pseudomonadota; Gammaproteobacteria; Oceanospirillales; Alcanivoracaceae
Description: bacterial SSU rRNA
Rfam family: Bacterial small subunit ribosomal RNA
Source: RNAcentral